GACAGAGGGUGCAAACGUUGCUCGGAAUUACUGGGCGUAAAGGGCUCGUAGGUGGCCAACUAAGUCAGACGUGAAAUCCCUCGGCUUAACCGGGGAACUGCAUCUGAUACUGGAUGGCUGGAGAUUGGGAGAGGGAUGCGGAAUUCCAGGUGUAGCGGUGAAAUGCGUAGAUAUCUGGAGGAACACCGGUGGCGAAGGCGGCAUCCUGGACCAACACUGACGCUGAGGAGCGAAAGCCAGGGGAGCAAACGGG
Molecule: ribosomal RNA, 253 nt
Filed under: uncultured bacterium
Lineage: Bacteria
Description: partial 16S ribosomal RNA
Rfam family: Bacterial small subunit ribosomal RNA
Source: RNAcentral